CUGGAGGUAUCAGAAGUGAGAAUGCAGGAAUAAGUAGCGAGAAAGGGGGCGAGAAUCCCCCUCGCCGGAAGACCAAGGUUUUCAGGGUAAAGCUUGUCUUCCCUGAGUAAGCCGGGACCUAAGCCGAGGCUAAAAUGCGUAGGCGAAUGGAAAACAGAUUAAUAUUUCUGUGCCAGUUAUAUUUUGUGAUGGAGGGACGCAGAAGGGUAUGUGCGCGGGAGAACGGAAGUUCCCGUAAAAGCAUGUAGAGUGGUCUAGUAGGAAAAUCCGCUAGAUUAGACUUGAGGUGUGAUAUAUAGUCGUAAGAUGAAUGCACAAAUCCCACGCUGCCGAGAAAAGCUUCUAACGUUAAGGUAUAACUGCCCGUACCCGAAACCGACACAGGUGGUCAGGAUGAGAAAUCUAAGGCGGACAGGCUAACUCUCGUUAAGGAACUCUGCAAAAUUGCCCCGUAACUUUGGGAGAAGGGGUGCCCCUGGAUGUUAAUAUUCAAGCAAUAUGAAGCAUUUGGGGGUCGCAGUGAAGAGGCUCAAGCAACUGUUUAACAAAAACACAGGUCUAUGCUAAGCUGUAAGGCGAUGUAUAUGGGCUGACACCUGCCCAGUGCCGGAAGGUUAAGAGGAGGAGUGAGAGCUCCGAAUUGAAGCCCCGGUGAACGGCGGCCGUAACUAUAACGGUCCUAAGGUAGCGAAAUUCCUUGUCGGGUAAGUUCCGACCUGCACGAAUGGUGUAAUGAUUUGAGCGCUGUCUUGACGGGAGGCCUGGUGAAAUUGUACUACCGGUGAAGAUACCGGUUACCUACAGUAGGACGGAAAGACCCCAUGGAGCUUUACUGUAGCUUGGUAUUGGGUUUUGGCAUUGCAUGUAUAGGAUAGUUGGGAAACUAUGAAGAUAUGGCGCUAGCUGUAUUGGAGUUGUCGGUGGAAUACCAACCAUUCAAUGUCGAAAUUCUAAUCUGUGGUUUGCAGCCACGGAAACAGUGCUAGGUGGGCAGUUUGACUGGGGCGGUCGCCUCCGAAAGAGUAACGGAGGCGUUCAAAGGUUCUCUCAGGUUGGAUGGAAAUCAACCGCAGAGUGCAAUGGCAUAAGAGAGCUUAACUGCGAGACUGACGGGUCGAGCAGGUGCGAAAGCAGGACAUAGUGAUCCGGCGAUUCCGAAUGGAAGGGUCGUCGCUCAACGGAUAAAAGCUACCCUGGGGAUAACAGGCUGAUUUUGCCCGAGAGUCCAUAUCGACGGCAAAGUUUGGCACCUCGAUGUCGGCUCAUCGCAUCCUGGGGCUGGAGAAGGUCCCAAGGGUUGGGCUGUUCGCCCAUUAAAGCGGUACGUGAGCUGGGUUCAGAACGUCGUGAGACAGUUCGGUCCCUAUCCACUGUAGGCGUUAGAAUAUUGAGAAGAUCUGUCCUUAGUACGAGAGGACCGGGAUGGACAAACCUCUGAUGUACCAGUUGUCACGCCAGUGGCACAGCUGGGUAGUCACGUUUGGAACGGAUAACCGCUGAAAGCAUCUAAGCGGGAAACCAGCUUCAAGAUAAGUAUUCUUUAAGACUCCUUCGAGACUAGAAGGUUGAUAGGUUGGGGGUGUAAGAGCUGCGAGGCUUUUAGCUGACCAAUACUAAUAAGUCAAAGUUUUAACCUAA
RNAcentral lists this ribosomal RNA (1638 nucleotides) under Salmonella enterica. Its description in RNAcentral is "partial 23S ribosomal RNA". It matches the Rfam family "Bacterial large subunit ribosomal RNA", at positions 1273 to 2925 of the family's 2925-position model. Lineage: Bacteria; Pseudomonadati; Pseudomonadota; Gammaproteobacteria; Enterobacterales; Enterobacteriaceae. The record is from RNAcentral.